This 250-nucleotide ribosomal RNA is filed under the name uncultured bacterium. RNAcentral describes it as "partial 16S ribosomal RNA". It matches the Rfam family "Bacterial small subunit ribosomal RNA", at positions 524 to 776 of the family's 1533-position model. The record is from RNAcentral.
UACGUAGGGUGCAAGCGUUGUCCGGAAUUAUUGGCGUAAAGAGCUCGUAGGCGGUCUGUCGCGUCGGCUGUGAAAACCCGGAGCUCAACUCCGGGCCUGCAGUCGAUACGGGCAGACUGGAGUUCGGCAGGGGAGACUGGAAUUCCUGGUGUAGCGGUGAAAUGCGCAGAUAUCAGGAGGAACACCGGUGGCGAAGGCGGGUCUCUGGGCCGAUACUGACGCUGAGGAGCGAAGCGUGGGAGCGAACAGG